RNAcentral lists this ribosomal RNA (252 nucleotides) under uncultured bacterium. RNAcentral's name for it is "partial 16S ribosomal RNA". It matches the Rfam family "Bacterial small subunit ribosomal RNA", at positions 524 to 775 of the family's 1533-position model. The record is from RNAcentral.
UACGAAGGGGGCUAGCGUUGCUCGGAAUGACUGGGCGUAAAGGGCGCGUAGGCGGCUGUCAUAGUCAGAUGUGAAAUUCCUGGGCUUAACCUGGGGGCUGCAUUUGAUACGUGGCGGCUAGAGUGCGGAAGAGGGUCGUGGAAUUCCCAGUGUAGAGGUGAAAUUCGUAGAUAUUGGGAAGAACACCGGUGGCGAAGGCGGCGACCUGGUCCUUGACUGACGCUGAGGCGCGAAAGCGUGGGGAGCAAACAG